GUGUCAGCCGCCGCGGUAAUACGUAGGGUGCAAGCGUUAAUCGGAAUUACUGGGCGUAAAGGGUGCGCAGGCGGCGUGGCAAGAAAGGUGUGAAAUCCCAGGGCUUAACCUUGGAACUGCACUUUUAACUGCUACGCUAGAGUAUGUCAGAGGGGGGUAGAAUUCCACGUGUAGCAGUGAAAUGCGUAGAUAUGUGGAGGAAUACCGAUGGCGAAGGCAGCCCCCUGGGAUAAUACUGACGCUCAGGCACGAAAGCGUGGGGAGCAAACAGGAUUAGAUACCCUCGUAGUCC
Molecule: ribosomal RNA, 292 nt
Filed under: uncultured prokaryote
Description: partial 16S ribosomal RNA
Rfam family: Bacterial small subunit ribosomal RNA
Source: RNAcentral